CCUACGGGGGGCAGCAGUGAGGAAUAUUGGUCAAUGGACGAGAGUCUGAACCAGCCAAGUAGCGUGAAGGAUGACUGCCCUACGGGUUGUAAACUUCUUUUAUAAAGGAAUAAAACGAGGCACGUGUGCCUUUUUGCAUGUACUUUAUGAAUAAGGAUCGGCUAACUCCGUGCCAGCAGCCGCGGUAAUACGGAGGAUCCGAGCGUUAUCCGGAUUUAUUGGGUUUAAAGGGAGCGUAGAUGGGUUGUUAAGUCAGUUGUGAAAGUUUGCGGCUCAACCGUAAAAUUGCAAUUGAUACUGGCAGUCUUGAGUACAGUUGAGGUAGGCGGAAUUCGUGGUGUAGCGGUGAAAUGCUUAGAUAUCACGAAGAACCCCGAUUGCGAAGGCAGCUCACUAAACUGUGACUGACAUUGAUGCUCGAAAGUGUGGGUAUCAAACAGGAUUAGAUACCCCUGUAGUC
RNAcentral lists this ribosomal RNA (460 nucleotides) under uncultured bacterium. RNAcentral's name for it is "partial 16S ribosomal RNA". It matches the Rfam family "Bacterial small subunit ribosomal RNA", at positions 338 to 795 of the family's 1533-position model. The record is from RNAcentral.